UACGGGGGGAGCAAGCGUUGUUCGGAUUUACUGGGCGUAAAGGGCGCGUAGGCGGCCUCCGCAAGUCGACUGUGAAAUCUCCGGGCUUAACCCGGAAAGGUCAGCCGAAACUGCGGGGCUAGAGUGCAGAAGGGGCAACUGGAAUUCUCGGUGUAGCGGUGAAAUGCGUAGAUAUCGAGAGGAACACCUGCGGCGAAGGCGGUUCUCUGGGCCUUACCUGACGCUGAGGAGCGAAAGCGUGGGGAGCGAACAGG
Molecule: ribosomal RNA, 254 nt
Filed under: uncultured bacterium
Lineage: Bacteria
Description: partial 16S ribosomal RNA
Rfam family: Bacterial small subunit ribosomal RNA
Source: RNAcentral